UACGUAGGGUGCGAGCGUUGUCCGGAAUUAUUGGGCGUAAAGAGCUCGUAGGCGGUGUGUCACGUCGGCCGUGAAAACCUGCAGCUUAACUGUGGGCGUGCGGUCGAUACGGGCAUCACUGGAGUUCGGCAGGGGAGACUGGAAUUCCUGGUGUAGCGGUGGAAUGCGCAGAUAUCAGGAGGAACACCGGUGGUGAAGGCGGGUCUCUGGGCAGUAACUGACGCUGAGGAGCGAAAGCGUGGGGAGCGAACAGG
Molecule: ribosomal RNA, 254 nt
Filed under: uncultured bacterium
Lineage: Bacteria
Description: partial 16S ribosomal RNA
Rfam family: Bacterial small subunit ribosomal RNA
Source: RNAcentral